RNAcentral lists this unclassified non-coding RNA (605 nucleotides) under Hevea brasiliensis (rubber tree). Lineage: Eukaryota; Viridiplantae; Streptophyta; Magnoliopsida; Malpighiales; Euphorbiaceae. The record is from RNAcentral.
AAAAAAAAAAAGAAAAAAAAUUGACAGUAAAGAUGAAGAUGUAGGAUCACUGUCCUACAUUAGAUGAUUAAGAUAGAAAGGUGAUAGAGGAGGCACCCCCCAUUACUUUUGGUUCAUAUAAGACUUUAGGUUUUUAUUAGUGUCCUGGUUCCAAACCACUAGGAGAUAAUUGUCCUCAUUACAAACCAACAAGAGAUAUUGAUCGAAACAAUAGGCUCAUUAACGUCAUUAAUUAAAGGAUAUAAAAAUAUAAUAAUGAGUAACGUGCAGUCCUGGAGAUUUCAUUUACUGUCUUGCCCGCAAGAGUUGAGGAAGGUGAUUCAUCAUUCAGCUUGUCAAAACAUCUGACCAGACACUGGUUAAAAUUAUCCACUUGAUUUCUACAUGAAUUAAUUCUCCCGAACUAGAGCAUCAUAAACUCAUAGAUAUACUACUACAUCUCCUCAAAAGGUUUGAUCUUAUUGUGUUGCACAGAUUCUCAAGAGGAUAGCAACAUUGCAUAUUGAUAAAUUUACAUUAACUAUUGGUGUGAGCAUGCACAUGUGUUUCUACAUCUGUUUGAAUGUGAAACAUAGAAUAAGUAAACUGUUUCAAACUCUGGAUAG